UCGGGAAUUUUGGGCAAUGGGCGAAAGCCUGACCCAGCAACGCCGCGUGAAGGAUGAAGUAUUUCGGUAUGUAAACUUCGAAAGAAUAGGAAGAAUAAAUGACGGUACUAUUUAUAAGGUCCGGCUAACUACGUGCCAGCAGCCGCGGUAAUACGUAGGGACCAAGCGUUGUUCGGAUUUACUGGGCGUAAAGGGCGCGUAGGCGGCAAUUCAAGUCAUCUGUGAAAUCUCCGGGCCUAACUCGGAACGGUCAGAUGAUACUGCUUUGCUAGAGUGCAGAAGGGGCAAUCGGAAUUCUUGGUGUAGCGGUGAAAUGCGUAGAUAUCAAGAGGAACACCUGAGGUGAAGACGGGUUGCUGGGCUGACACUGACGCUGAGGCGCGAAAGCCAGGGGAGCAAACGGGAUUAGAUACCCACGUAGUCCCUGAGCGGGCUGGCAAGGCGCAU
Molecule: ribosomal RNA, 447 nt
Filed under: uncultured bacterium
Lineage: Bacteria
Description: bacterial SSU rRNA
Rfam family: Bacterial small subunit ribosomal RNA
Source: RNAcentral